RNAcentral lists this long non-coding RNA (2262 nucleotides) under Nicotiana benthamiana. RNAcentral describes it as "long non-coding RNA (NBEN_LNC020193)". Lineage: Eukaryota; Viridiplantae; Streptophyta; Magnoliopsida; Solanales; Solanaceae. The record is from RNAcentral.
AAAUCUUCUUUCUUCUCAGAUAUUCCCAAACUCUUCCAUAGUCAAAGAAUCAUGUCUAACCCCCAAAUUCUGGCACUCCCCUACCAGCAUUUCCCUCGAACACAUCCUCAUCUACUCCUCCUAUUGAAUCCCCAAAACCAAAGGUUCGUAGUUAGAAAAUGUUGACUAGAAAAACUGUAACAUCUGGAGCCCUAAGUAAAGUUCUAGAUGAGAAAUUUAAGGCUAACCAAAAGAAAGCAAGCCCUGUACACGAAUCUGACUCUAGCUAUAAGUCUGAAGAUUUUAUUUUUGCCAGUGAAGGUAAAGAACAUGGGUCUUCUGACGCUGAGAAAAUUAAAGAAACCCCUGGUGAGGUAAGUUCUUGUGUAGUAUUUUCUAAUGUGGUUGAAAGCACUGAAAAUAGGUUUGUUCUAGUUGGUCCUAUUAAAGAUGUAAAGGUGACUGAAUCAAGUAGGAGUGGAGGUAAAAAGAAAGGAAAAGAGAGAGAAUGAGCGAGUGGUGAUGAGAGGCAUAAUGGGAAAGAAAAGGUUCUUGCUAUCUGUGGGAGUGUUGAAGAGAGUGGUAUCAAGUCAGGGGGGAGUGUUUCUAGGGAAGCAGUUGAAGGGCUUGUUCAUCUAAGCAAGCAACAAGAAGAACCUGUUUCAUCUGCUAAGGAAACUCUGGCUGAUCUUCUGAAAAAGGUUGGGACAAUCUAUGAUCCAAAGAAGUGCAAGGCUUCUUCUCAAAAAGCUCCAACUACUUCCCAGUCAACCAAGAAAAGUAAAAUUUCAUCCCCAAAACCUAUUGUCCCUUCAGUGCCUUAGGGAAAAGCUACUAGAAGCAUGGUCAAGAAAGUGAAGCAGAGUUACAGAAAGCCCUGGAAGAAAGCAGGAACAAGAAGAAGGUGAAGAGAAAAGCAAAGGUUGUAGAAGGUUCCGAGGCAACAUAAGAAGAAGAAAAGAUGGACCUAGGCCAUCAAGAAAGGGGAACAACUAUAUAAGUUCCUACUCCCACACCUAAGAGGUCCAAGACUUCCUGUAAGAAUUCCUCAUCUGAACCUGCGUCUAUUGAAUCCUCUUUAGCCAAAAGAACUAGGUCUGCUUUGAAGGUUAUGCAAAAGAAAAUUGUUGAAGAAGAUGAAGAGUGGAGUGGUGGAGAAGAAGAAGAGGAAUCUGAGAAAAACAAGACAGGUUUUCCAUCUUUGGCAGAAGAAAAUUUUUGAAAGGAAGACUAUUAAGUUACCUGGAUGAGCCAAGUAUGAGAAGAUUGGUGGUACCUUGGCUGCACAAGGUUAGAAGGACUUGGUCCUUGAGAUGGAUGGAAGGCUGGCUAGGAAUGAACUGAUUGAGUUUAUGGCCAAUGCCACUGUAAAAAAUAGGAUAGUCUCCAGCCUUAUGAAGGGUGAAAAUGUGGAGUUUUAUGUAAUCCAACUGGGUGAGAUUCUGGACAUACCUAGUGAAUGGUACAAUGAUUAUACAAGGCAACGGUGGCCAUGCCUAGAUUCUUUCCCUACUGCUCUUCAAAUCACUAGGAAUUUUUGUGAUGCUGCAACUGCUAAAGAUGUACCUACAGUUAGGUUUGUGCAGAAAAGUGAGAUGAGACCUGAGCACAAGGUCUUGGUUUAAUUUGUUAACAAGUGUCUGCUGCCUAGACAAGAAAGGAGACAUACUGCCAACUACAUGGCCAGGUUCUUAUGGAGUGCCUUGUGAUAGGAAUACAGAUAAAUUUUCCUGCUUUCAUUGUCACAGGGUCAUUAAUGGCUUCAAGGCACAUGCAACUCCAUAUGGGUUCAUACUGACUACUGUGCUGGGCAUAAUAAGGGUGCCUUUGAAGAAAUGGGAGAUGGCAUCAAGCAAGGAGCAUUUUGGUGUUAAGACCUUAUUGGCUUGUCACUAUCCUGUCAAUGCCAUCCCAGUUGAACCUGGUUCAUCUCUAAAGACACAUGUGAAUAGCAAAUUUAGGGCUUUGGUUUAAGAAUGUGGAACUAAGGAUGCUGAAAAUAAAUGUCAUCCCAGUUGAACUUGGUUCAUCUCUAAAGACACCUGUGAAUAGCAAGAAUAGGGCUUUGGUUCAAGAGUGUGGAACUAAGGAUGCUGAAAUUGCUAGGCUUCAGGCUCGUAUUGUAGAAUUAGAAACUGAAAGAGAUGGCCUUAGAGUUGUGCUAGCAAAAGAAAAGGAGAAUAUUGAUGGGAUACUUCAUAAUAUGUUUAACCUUCUCCAAACUCAUCCCUAUAGUUCCUCCAAGCCUUAGGUCCUACAUUGUUGUCUUCUGAACCAAUCUAG